AGAUUGAACGCUAGCGGGAUGCUUUACACAUGCAAGUCGAACGGCAGCGCGGACUUCGGUCUGGCGGCGAGUGGCGAACGGGUGAGUAAUAUAUCGGAACGUGCCCAGUAGCGGGGGAUAACUACGCGAAAGCGUGGCUAAUACCGCAUACGCCCUACGGGGGAAAGGGGGGGAUUCUUCGGGACCUCUCACUAUUGGAGCGGCCGAUAUCAGAUUAGCUAGUUGGUGAGGUAAAGGCUCACCAAGGCGACGAUCUGUAGCUGGUUUGAGAGGACGACCAGCCACACUGGGACUGAGACACGGCCCAGACUCCUACGGGAGGCAGCAGGUGGGAAUUUGGACAAUGGGGGAAACCUGAUCCAGCCAUCCCGCGUGUGCGAUGGAAGGCCGUUCGGGUUGUAAA
Molecule: ribosomal RNA, 403 nt
Filed under: uncultured soil bacterium
Lineage: Bacteria
Description: bacterial SSU rRNA
Rfam family: Bacterial small subunit ribosomal RNA
Source: RNAcentral